This 183-nucleotide non-coding RNA is filed under the name Ctenophora environmental sample. Lineage: Eukaryota; Metazoa; Ctenophora. The record is from RNAcentral.
UUGUUUCUUUUUUUUGAUUUUUUUUGAUUUUUUUUUCUUUUUUUUUUUCUUUUUUUGUUUUCGUUGAUAUUUUUUGUUGGUUUUUUCCCGCUUCAAAUUUCAAAAACAGCAACUUUUGUUUUUUUUUGUUUUUUGAGUGGUUCUGUAAUACGAGAACUUUAUACACCAAAAAAAAAAAAAAUU